UAGCUGAGUCGGUAAAGAAUCUGCCUGCAAUGCAGGAGACCCAGGUUCGAUUUCUGG
This 57-nucleotide transfer RNA is filed under the name Bos taurus (domestic cattle). It matches the Rfam family "tRNA", at positions 8 to 63 of the family's 71-position model. From Rfam's summary of the family: Transfer RNA (tRNA) molecules are approximately 80 nucleotides in length. RNAcentral also lists the same sequence under 5 other names. Lineage: Eukaryota; Metazoa; Chordata; Mammalia; Artiodactyla; Bovidae. The record is from Rfam by way of RNAcentral.